ACAUCCAGAGAAUUUAGCAGAGAUGCUUUAGUGCCUUCGGGAACUCUGAGACAGGUGCUGCAUGGCUGUCGUCAGCUCGUGUUGUGAAAUGUUGGGUUAAGUCCCGCAACGAGCGCAACCCUUAUCCUUUGUUGCCAGCACGUAAUGGUGGGAACUCAAAGGAGACUGCCGGUGAUAAACCGGAGGAAGGUGGGGAUGACGUCAAGUCAUCAUGGCCCUUACGAGUAGGGCUACACACGUGCUACAAUGGCGCAUACAAAGAGAAGCGACCUCGCGAGAGCGAGCGGACCUCAUAAAGUGCGUCGUAGUCCGGAUUGGAGUCUGCAACUCGACUCCAUGAAGUCGGAAUCGCUAGUAAUCGUAAAUCAGAAUGUUACGGUGAAUACGUUCCCGGGCCUUGUACACACCGCCCGUCACACCAUGGGAGUGGGUUGCAAAAGAAGUAGAUAGCUUAACCUUCGGGAGGGCGUUUACCACUUUGUGAUUCAUGACUGGGGUGAAGUCGUAACAAGGUAGGCGUAGUGCU
RNAcentral lists this ribosomal RNA (526 nucleotides) under uncultured bacterium. Its description in RNAcentral is "bacterial SSU rRNA". It matches the Rfam family "Bacterial small subunit ribosomal RNA", at positions 984 to 1509 of the family's 1533-position model. The record is from RNAcentral.